This 280-nucleotide ribosomal RNA is filed under the name uncultured bacterium. Its description in RNAcentral is "partial 16S ribosomal RNA". It matches the Rfam family "Bacterial small subunit ribosomal RNA", at positions 773 to 1060 of the family's 1533-position model. The record is from RNAcentral.
GUGGAUUAGAUACCCUAGUAGUCCACGCCGUAAACGAUGGAUACUAGCUGUUGGGCGCAAGUUCAGUGGCUAAGCGAAAGUGAUAAGUAUCCCACCUGGGGAGUACGAACGCAAGUUUGAAACUCAAAGGAAUUGACGGGGGCCCGCACAAGCGGUGGAGCAUGUGGUUUAAUUCGAUGAUACGCGAGGAACCUUACCAAGGCUUAAAUGCAGACUGACCGAUUUGGAAACAGAUCUUUCGCAAGACAGUUUACAAGGUGCUGCACGGCCGUCGUCAACU